UGUAGCUAUGUGGACAGGAUUGGUCCUAGAAGUUCUUUCUGAGCCACGGCACUGUCUGCGUAUACAAAGGCUGUUGAUUUUCUAUCCUGCCACUUUACCAAACUCUACUCUGAGUUGGUCCCGGCCUUAGUAGCCACCUGGGGGUUGAACCCCCAGAGGGACGAUCCGUGAGAGAGAGCAAGAGGCAAGAGGGCUCGCGAUGCCCGGUGCUCUGCUUCUCUCCCCAAGCGGCUCCAACGGCCAGCGCCGGGCCAGGCAGAAGCCAGGAGGCUUGACCUCCAUUCAGGGCGCCCAGGAGGCCGGGAGGCGUGGUCCCUGGGUCACAGCCUGGAGAGGCCGCCCCACCAGCAGCCCUGGGGCGUCAGACGCUGGACGCCGCAGGCAGCGCGCAGAUGCAUUCGUGGCGCCACGGCGGCCGCCAAUGGGGAGUGCGCCUGCGCCCGGCGCUGUGCCCCGGAAGUGGCCCCUUGUGCCCCGGAAGUGGCCCCUUGUGGCCCGCUGUGCUCAGGUAGGAGUCCUCGGCGGUCCAGUCUGCUGCUGCCGGAGAGCCCGCGCGAGCCGUCCGGAGCCGUCCUGGACGCUGCCGGCGGAGCCUGCGGGAGACCCAAAUCCCCCGGGGUCAGGCCGGGCUCAGAGAGGCUGCGGCCCGAGGCUGCCGCGGCAGGUACCUUGCCCUUCUGGAAAUGUGUAGGCGCGGUCCUCUUCUUGGGCAGCUUCCGGAAGUCUACCCCUCGGGCCUCGGCUCCUGUUCCAGAGGAGCAGAAACGCUCUUUGCAUCCAGCGUCGUGGAGUUCUUUGUUGGAACAUGUACUGAGCACUGGCGCUAAGCCUUCGAACAAGGAGGUGAGCAGCCAAGAGCAACACCUGCAGGAAGGGCCGGGCUGCUGGUGUCGGAGGAGUGGCAGUAGGUUCAACAGGACCCUCAGGUUUGUCCCUCCUCGCCUGGUGAGUCUUCUUGAAAUGUUUGUGCGUAUCAUAUGCCGGCCCUGGCCACAGGCAGGGGACACUCGGGCCUUCAGGAGCCAGGGGAAAGGAAGGAUAAAUUGUGUAUUAUAUAUUAUAAAUUUCAUGUCACAUGUUCUAAAUAGGCUUUACAUUGUAUAUCGUAAAAUGUGUAUGUGCUCGGAGGUAUCACAUACGGUUCCAGAAGGAAUGGGCCUACCUGGCUGAAUUGUCAUGCCAGGAUGGGUGAACCAGCAGGUGAGUCAUCUUCUGUCGGGUGGGCACUUACGAUGCCCAGCGACUGCGUUAAUUUCCAGGUUUCUUGUGUUAUUUUCUGGAUUUAUAGUUCUGCUUGGUGGAUAGGAGCUGAGAAAACGGAUCUAGUCAUCCAGAAAGGAAGUUCCUGCUCACAGGCUUUGACUCCUGUUUUUCCUAAUUUGCUAAGCUAGUUUAUCUCAGUUUACAUGGAAGGUUCUGCAACACAGCAGUGAUAGCAUUGACUGGGAAACCCCCCAAAAUGGUUGUAUAUUGAUGUCAUUGCCCCACUGAAUUCUAAUUCUGCCUCUGUGAUAUCCAGUGUUGCCCUAAUUUUAUGAAAAAGUUCUUUAGCAAGAUAUUGUUAGAUUGUCUUAACGAAUGCGGCUAUAUGGGGAGACAUACGAUGUAAACGUCACAUAUCCCAGUCAUAUUAUUACAUUAGCUAGGACUGUGGGGACUCUGUUUAUCAUCAGAGGCAAGUAGAUCAGAGGAUGGCACCGAAAGUUUGAGAAGGAAGCAUUAUUCCCUAAGUAUAUUUGUUGCAGGUAUAAAACUAUAAGGUUCUGAAUAACUCAAUACUGGUUCUUUUUAUUUCUAAGUUAGAUUUUGAAAUAUUGAAAUUGUGGGGAGCAGCCCGGACUGGACUGAGUUACUGGAAUUAAGACUUAUUCUAUGCAUCUGCUCUCCCACAAUAUGGCGCUGGGAGAGAAGUAAACAGCUUCCGCACAGCUGCCUCCAGUUCAGCCAAUUAACUGUAGGACUAGAAUCCCUAGGUAUUGUGCGUGUGGGCAGCCGAGUUGGGAUUGGCAGAGGAGGACUAUAAAGGAGGAGAGAAACGGCAUGCACCGGGAACAUCUAUGGGGAACAUCUAAGGGAACCCGUGCAGCCCCCGAGAGAACCGGCCGGCGGUGUGCUGCUCCCCUGCGGAAGUGGGGAAUGCGGCCAGGGGGAGGAUGGCACCGAAAGUUUGAGAAGGAAGCAUUAUUCCCUAAGUAUAUUUGUUGCAGGUAUAAAACUAUAAGGUUCUGAAUAACUCAAUACAGGUUCUUUUUAUUUCUAAGUAGAGGGGGAGCGACAGAAAUCACUUGGAUUAUGAUAUUUUUCGGUCGGAGAGGAGAGGGGUAUUGUUUCUGCACAGUAUCCACAAUGGAUGCCAUGCCAUUGGUUGUGAAACUUUGGUUGACGAAACGAAAUCCCUGUUAGUCCGUGUGUUUAAACAACACAGAAUUUCAGAAUCCCUAGGUAUUGUGUUUUGUGGUUUGGUUCUUAUAGUAUGUGGAGAAUCGAGUCUUCCUUCCUGCUGGUUAGCAUUCACUAGUGUUGACAUCCAAGGAUCAUUCCUUGGUUUUCAUUUUAGGAGAUGCUGAGCAGGGACUAAUCGGUAACAACCCCUUGAGGCGAGUCAUCAUGGAUGUUCCAGUUUCCUCAUUAUCCACUCUUGGUGUUCCUCUUAGUCCUGAUUAUUCAAAUCCAGAUGUUGAAAUGACCCCAUGUUCAGUCUAAGUGUUUGUUCUCACUGGUCUUCUCAUCCUAGACAGCCUCAUCUCUGUACCGUGUUUCAGGAGGGUCUUGGCUUUUUCUCCCAUCAUUAGCUAGACCUGUUUAUGUUGCCCACGGUUUUCUCAUUUUGGCUAUUUUCAAACUUGAUUCCUUGAUUCCAUAAUUCUUUUCCCUCACACACAACAAACCCGGAAAAAUCUGUUCUCUUGUUUUCUCAUGCUCCCAGUCCACACAUGUUCUCUGAUAACGUUCACCAGGCAUCUCAAAGGCUGGCUGGUCCCCACACCCUUCUGGAAGCCACAUGAAUACGUGAUUCUUUGGCUUUUCGCUUUUGUGUCUCAAUUCCUUUUCCACAACCUCUGCUCCUGUGACCACCAUAAAACUUUAUCAUCUCCCAUAAGCCUAGCCUCUCCCUAGGCUAGCAACUACUAGUGUACUACUAACAGGAAGUUAAAAUUUAGAAACUUUCUGGGGAAAUUCCAAAAUUAAAGUGGUUUACGCCAAACGUCUUAAGAUGCUUUCCCUGUGUGGGGGGGGGGGGAACUAGAUGGAGUGUUCACCUCACACAAUGCCUUUGUUUUGUUUGUGAGUUAUGUAUACCUCAGUAAUUAUGAAUGGGAAAACUAAAACUGACUUGCAGUUCAAUGUUGCAAAUAUUUGGGAGUUCUGUAGUGAGAGAACAGGCAUGGAGUCCAGGAAAUCCUUCAAUGAAUUGGUAUAUCUGUGGUUUUCAGAGUGCUACUUUAAAGACAUUUAAAUUAUGUUAACAUUUUCUUGCAGUGUCACUGGUCACCUACUGAUGAAGCAGGCCCUGCAUUUUCCAUUCCAUAGUUUAAUUGGGCUAAUUCACAACCUGCCUAUAAUAGUAGCUAUGUUAAAUGCACAUAGGAAUGUGCACACAUUGGUGGGAGAAUAGCACAUAGUAAUUUAGGAUUCUCGUUUCACUUUUCACUUUCCUGGUUUCCUUCAGAUACAUUUCCUUUCAUGUUGUAUUUCUGAGUUUUCAGUUUGAGGGAGGUGGGGUGACAAUGCAUUAUGUUACUUGGAUAUUGUCUUAAAUAUUCUCUUGAUGGAAUUCCCGAAUCUUUAUUUUCAAGAUAUAAAUCUCCUGAAAUUUAGUUUAGUCAAGUUGUGAAUGUUCUUUUUAAGGAUUUAUGUAUUUGAAAGUCAGACUUCCACAGAGAUAGAAGGAGAGGCAGAGAGAGAGAGAGGUCUUCCACCUGCUGGUUCACUCCCCAGUUGGCUGCAAAGGCCGGAACUGUGCCAGUGUGAAGCCAGGAGCCAGGAACCUCUUCUGGGUCUCCCACAUGGGUUCAGGGGCCCAAGGACUUGGGCCAUCUUUCACUGCUUUCCCAGGCCAUAGCAGAGAGCUGGAUUGGAAGUGGAGCAGCCGGGACUUGAACUGGUGCCCGUGUAGGAUGCCAGCACUGCAUUUGGUGGCCUCACCCGCUAUGCCACAGUGCCAGCCCCAAUCAUGAAUGUUUUAGCAUCAUUUCUGUCCCAUGAAGCCUACGAAAACCCCACAAUAUUAACCUAAGUUCCUUAACUUUUAUGAUGCAUUUUAAGUAUAGGAACCUAUUUUGAAUGCUUUAUUUUUUCCAGCCUUUUCACAGUGUAACUGAGAAACAAAAAUUCUAUCUAUUCAAGGCACGUUCUCUGUGUUUCGAUAUGAGUCUGAUCUGUAUAUUGCAUUUUCACACAAACCGUUCGACUCUCCUGGUACUUACAGUACACUAUGAAAGGAUUAGUACAAUGGGGCCACCUAACAAAUUUAUCACUUUUACCGUGUUUUGUAACUUUUUCAAAUUUUAUUUCUUUAUGUAUUUUCCCAGACAACUUUUAUUUAAGGUAUACAUACUUUAUGCAUUCAAUAAUUGCAGCUUUAGCAGCUGUAUUUAUUGGUAGCAGUAAUUCUUCUACCGUACCUGCCCUCUCAUUGACACUCCUAUGCUUUUUUUUUUUUUUUUGACAGGCAGAGUGGACAGUGACAGAGAGAGAGAGAGAGAAAGGUCUUCCUUUUGCCGUUGGUUCACCCUCCAAUGGCCGCCGCGGCUGGCGUGCUGCGCUGAUCCAAUGGCAGGAGCCAGGUACUUCUCCUGGUCUCCCGUGGGGUACAGGGCCCAAGCACUUGGGCCAUCCUCCACUGCACUCCCUGGCCACAGCAGAGAGCUGGACUGGAAGAGGGGCAACCGGGACUAGAACCGGUGCCCAUAUGGGAUGCCGGGCGUCGCAGGUGGAGGAUUAACCUAGUGAGCCACGGUGCCGACCCCUGUACAUUUCUUUUGAAAGGCAGGAAACAGAGAAAAGGGGAGAGAGGGAUAAAGAGAGUAAGGCAGAGACAGACAGGGUGAGCGAGAGGAUGAGGGAUAUCUCAUCUCAUGCAUUAUUUCCCUCCUCAGAUGUCCUCAGUGGCAGGGCUCUGCCCCAGGUCUCCCACUUUGGCACUGGGGCCCACGUCCUUGGGUCAUCUUCUAGUGCUUUCCCAGGCACGUUAGCGGGGAGGGGAAUGGUAAGUGGAGCACUUGGGACCUGGUCUGGUGCUUACACGCGAUGCUGGCAGUGCCGGUGGAGGCUCAGGCUUUUUUUACACCCCAGCUCCAGCCCCAUCACCAUAUGUUUGUAUCGUUUGACUGCCCUCUCUUCAGUUUCAUGCUCCCAGUUCAUCACAGACACCAUCCUGCUCUCUGACUGUGUUAGUUGGACUUUGUAUAUUCCACAUGGAAGUGUGAUCGUGUCGUAGUGCUCAUUUCUGUGUGUCUUGUUUCCCUCAUGGUCAUGUCCUAUAGUUCCAUACUUUUGGAUCCAUCUGUGACAAGUAGUAAUAUUUCCUUUCUUUUUAAGGUUUGGCGAGGAUGCCACUGUGUGUGUAUCCCAUUUUUCCUUAUGGGUCCAUCAGCAAACAUUUGGAUUAUUUCCAUAUCGUGGAAUUGUGAAUGAUGCUGAAGUGAUGUGGGGGUGCAGACAGUUCAUUGAGAUGGUGAUUUUCUUUUGGAUUCAUGGUCAAUAAAGGUUGUUCCUUUUUAAAUUGUAUUUGAGGA
Molecule: long non-coding RNA, 5738 nt
Organism: Oryctolagus cuniculus (rabbit)
Lineage: Eukaryota; Metazoa; Chordata; Mammalia; Lagomorpha; Leporidae
Source: Ensembl